Molecule: ribosomal RNA, 258 nt
Filed under: uncultured bacterium
Lineage: Bacteria
Description: partial 16S ribosomal RNA
Rfam family: Bacterial small subunit ribosomal RNA
Source: RNAcentral
GUCCACGCCGUAAACGAUGGAUACUAGCUGUUGGGAGCAAUCUCAGUGGCUAAGCGAAAGUGAUAAGUAUCCCACCUGGGGAGUACGUUCGCAAGAAUGAAAACUCAAAAGGAAUUGACGGGGGGCCCGCACAAGCGGUGGAGCAUGUGGUUUAAUUCGAUGAUACGCGAGGAACCUUACCAAGGCUUAAAAUGUAGAUUGACAGAUUUGGAAACAGAUUUUCUUCGGACAAUUUACAAGGUGCUGCAUGGUUGUCGU